This 253-nucleotide ribosomal RNA is filed under the name uncultured bacterium. RNAcentral's name for it is "partial 16S ribosomal RNA". It matches the Rfam family "Bacterial small subunit ribosomal RNA", at positions 524 to 776 of the family's 1533-position model. The record is from RNAcentral.
UACGUAGGGUGCAAGCGUUAAUCGGAAUUACUGGGCGUAAAGCGUGCGCAGGCGGCUUUGCAAGACAGAUGUGAAAUCCCCGGGCUUAACCUGGGAACUGCAUUUGUGACUGCAUGGCUAGAGUGCGGCAGAGGGAGAUGGAAUUCCGCGUGUAGCAGUGAAAUGCGUAGAUAUGCGGAGGAACACCGAUGGCGAAGGCAAUCCCCUGGGCCUGCACUGACGCUCAUGCACGAAAGCGUGGGGAGCAAACAGG